This is a long non-coding RNA of Megalobrama amblycephala (Wuchang bream), 1334 nucleotides long. RefSeq lists it as uncharacterized. Lineage: Eukaryota; Metazoa; Chordata; Actinopteri; Cypriniformes; Xenocyprididae. The transcript is spliced from 3 exons. The record is from RefSeq and is a predicted model, not a curated record.
UUCAUUAGAUGAAAGACAGGUCAGAUGACAGGCAGACUGACUAAUUAAGAUAACCAGAACAUAUUUUAACAUUAUUUACCAAUAUAAAAUGCUUAAAAGAGAUUAAUAUAAUUCCCAAACCCCAUUCGGUCCAUCGCAGACACACUCUCAUCAAAUCCUUUGGACACUUUCACGUCUCUCGUUCCAGAUGUAACGUUAAGCUUUUACUUCUCUUGUAAUGGGCAGUUGCAAACAAGUGGCUAAAUAAGAAUACAGAAGUUGUCGGGGACAUUAAACAUCAUCAGCCGAACAGUCACAUGCUCCAGAUUUCCACAUGGAAAUCCCCCCGAGGGAUCUACAAGAGCCGAAGCAUCUGAAUGAUGCAGGCUGUUCGUGGCUUCAUCAACACAGCAAUGGCUACAUGAUUCAGUGUCUUGAGAGAAGCCUAGAGGAAGUGACACUUUGUCAGCACUGGCCUGACAGUGACCCUCGCAGCCUGCUGAAUCAAAACCGUGAAGAGACUUCCAGCAGAACUUACAGCCUGUGUGAUGGAGAAGUAAAUGCAGUAAGUUAAUUUCAACAAGCAUUUACUGUUCAAUCAUAAACAACCCACACAUUAAAAAAAAACUCACUUGUAUGAUGGCGGUUCUAUGCAAUUACAGAAAAUAAGCACAUUAUCAUCCUGAUGCCAGAGAGAGACUGUAGAACUAUAGACCAUAGAACAUAAUUGAUUAAAUCCAUUGAUAAUACUAACAGUAUCAUCAGAUCAAGUGUUAGUUAGAUUCAGCACACCCAGAGAAUAUAUUCUAUUGGUUAUUAUUAUCAUCAUUAUGUUGCUCUAUUUAAUAGUUCUUAACUGAAUAAUUUAUCACACGUCAUUCCAAACCCAAAUGCUAGCAUUUUUUUGUGUAACGCAAAAAGGAUUUUUGAAGAAUCUUAAUCUCUUCUAUUCAAUAGUUCAUUUAAACUCAAAAAACGCACAACGAUAAGUCAUAAAACUAUCAGAACAAUCCAUAUGAUAGUAGUCCAUAUUUUAUGACUGCUCAUGAACUACUCAUAUGCUUUUACAAAUGCUUUACCACUUACAAUAUGAACUACUCUGCUUUUACAGUGUCCUUUUUGGAGCUUGUCAGAUUAACAAGGAAAUUAGCUUUCAGUGAUGACUUUUCUACCUUUGGAUGUCAUGGAAAAAAUAACAGUGUACAGAUUUGGAAUGACAUGAAAUGAGUUCUUUUUUGUAAAACCUUAGGAUAUUUAAAAGAGACACAAAUGAAUCAAUAUUUGAGUUCAUAAAUAAACACACACACACAGUGCUUAACAAAUUUAUUAUUCGCACAUAAUACAUUUUUUUCUUU